UAGCAGCUCAGUCUUAUUAGUCCUG
Molecule: non-coding RNA, 25 nt
Filed under: Mus musculus (house mouse)
Lineage: Eukaryota; Metazoa; Chordata; Mammalia; Rodentia; Muridae
Source: RNAcentral